GACGAACGCUGGCGGCGUGCUUAACACAUGCAAGUUGAACGGAAAGGCCCUGCUUUUGUGGGGUGCUCGAGUGGCGAACGGGUGAGUAACACGUGAGUAACCUGCCCUUGACUUUGGGAUAACUUCAGGAAACUGGGGCUAAUACCGGAUAGGAGCUCCUGCUGCAUGGUGGGGGGUGGAAAGUUUCCGCGGUUGGGGAUGGACACGCGGCUUAUCAGCUUGUUGGUGGGGUAGUGGCUUACCAAGGCUUUGAGGGGUAGCCGGCCUGAGAGGGUGACCGGCCACAUUGGGACUGAGAUACGGCCCAGACUCCUGCGGGAGGCAGCAGUGGGGAAUAUUGCGCAAUGGGCGGAAGCCUGAUGCAGCAACGCCGCGUGCGGGAUGACGGCCUUCGGGUUGUAAACCGCUUUCGCCUGUGACGAAGCGUGAGUGACGGUAAUGGGUAAAGAAGCACCGGCUAACUACGUG
This 468-nucleotide ribosomal RNA is filed under the name uncultured bacterium. RNAcentral's name for it is "partial 16S ribosomal RNA". It matches the Rfam family "Bacterial small subunit ribosomal RNA", at positions 28 to 507 of the family's 1533-position model. The record is from RNAcentral.